Pangasianodon hypophthalmus (striped catfish) is the source of this 352-nucleotide long non-coding RNA. RefSeq lists it as uncharacterized. Lineage: Eukaryota; Metazoa; Chordata; Actinopteri; Siluriformes; Pangasiidae. The record is from RefSeq and is a predicted model, not a curated record. The transcript has 3 exons.
CUUCAUGGACCAUUCUGUCAGCCAUCACGUUUGUGCCUGCUAGUAUAUAAAACAAAAAAAGAAAUCAGGUCUUAUUAGGUAAAAGUAGUGAUAUUCAUUCUUCAGUUUAAUCACAUCAGAGGCAGAGGCAACCAGGUUUUAGGCUGAAAUAGCCUAGUACUUUGCAGAAUUCAUGAUGCCUUCAGAAUGCUCAAAAGAGUCCCUGAACCACCAGCCACAAAACAACCCCAAAGCCUCGAUGAUCCACGUCCAUAUGUUACAGCAGAUAUCAGAUACCAGCUAUGCACCUCAGAAACAACAACAACAAAACGAUUAUGUCUUUUUUUUUUCAAACAAGCAAAAUAAGUGGAGG